ACAGAUCUCAGCACUGAGAGGUGAUGUUCAGAUGGAGGACAGUUACGGAUUGGACGUCCAUAGAAGUGAAGCCAGUGACGGAGGUCUGGGCAGGGGGCUGCCAGUUAGAUACCUUACUCUGGUGGAUAGUGUUUUUGAAGAUCAGCUUGUUCUCUCUCUGGAUGAUGAUGAGGAGCUUCCAACGUUACAAACAGGUACGAUCCAUUCAUCUGUUUAUCUCUCUGUCUUACUCGCUCUCUCCCUCUUCUUUAUUCUCUCUCUUUCGCGCUCUCUCUCUCUC
Long non-coding RNA from Oncorhynchus gorbuscha (pink salmon), 280 nucleotides. RefSeq lists it as uncharacterized. Lineage: Eukaryota; Metazoa; Chordata; Actinopteri; Salmoniformes; Salmonidae. The transcript is spliced from 3 exons. The record is from RefSeq and is a predicted model, not a curated record.